Molecule: ribosomal RNA, 301 nt
Filed under: uncultured bacterium
Lineage: Bacteria
Description: partial 16S ribosomal RNA
Rfam family: Bacterial small subunit ribosomal RNA
Source: RNAcentral
CAGUAGCCACGGUAAUACGAGGGGGGCAAGCGUUGUUCGGAAUUAUUGGGCGUAAAGGGCGCGUAGGCGGUUUGGCAAGUUUCGUGUGAAAUCUUCGGGCUCAACUCGAAGUCUGCACGGAAAACUGCCGGGCUUGAGUAUGGGAGAGGUGAGUGGAAUUUCCGGUGUAGCGGUGAAAUGCGUAGAUAUCGGAAGGAACACCUGUGGCGAAAGCGGCUCACUGGACCAUAACUGACGCUGAGGCGCGAAAGCUAGGGGAGCAAACAGGAUUAGAUACCCCGGUAGUCCCUGUCUCUUAUAC